CCUACGGGAGGCUGCAGUGAGGAAUAUUGGUCAAUGGACGAGAGUCUGAACCAGCCAAGCAGCGUGAAGGAUGACUGCUCUAGGGGUGGUAACCUUUUUUUAGAUGGGAAUAAAAUGUUCCACGUGUGGGAUUUUGUAUGUACCAUAUGAAUAAGGAACGGCUAACUCCGUGCCAGCAGCCGCGGUAAUACGGAGGAUCCGAGCGUUAUCCGGAUUGAGUGGGUUUAAAGGGAGCGUAGGUGGAUUGUUAAGUCAGUUGUGAAAGUUUGCGGCUUAACCGUAAAAUUGCAGUUGAAACUGGCAGUCUUGAGUACAGGAGAGGUGAGCGGAAUUCGUGGUGUAGCGGUGAAAUGCUUAGAUAUCCCGAAGAACUCCGAUUGCGAAGGCAGCUCACUGGACUGCAACUGACACUGAGGCUCGAAAGUGUGGGUAUCAAACAGGAUUAGAUACCCUAGUAGUC
This 460-nucleotide ribosomal RNA is filed under the name uncultured bacterium. RNAcentral's name for it is "partial 16S ribosomal RNA". It matches the Rfam family "Bacterial small subunit ribosomal RNA", at positions 338 to 795 of the family's 1533-position model. The record is from RNAcentral.